AUGUGGCUGAUUUUCCAACCCAGUCCAGCCAAGAUAUAUCCGGCUAAAUGUCCACGAAACGCAAGAGCAGAGUGCUCACGAUGGCCGAGCCACGGGUGGCUGCCUGCCGGGUGGCGGCCAAACGUGCUGCCGGAGGACGGUGAAGAAGGCGCUCUCUCCUCGCCUCGUCGCGUCGUCGUUGCCGGUAAAACGGUCGCCGGCGCCCGCACCGGCAGACCGCACACUCCGCGAUACGCGGGAGCCCACAAGAUUCGAUCCGAAUAUGACGCGGCGCCUGCUCAGGUGCCACCGAACGCCGUGCCCCGGCGCCUGGCACAUGGUCGACGAAUCGAGCGAGCGUGCGUGGUUAAGCCGUCGCCGUUGCGGGAGGCUGCCGUCGUGCCCCAGCCCCACCCAUGUGCCGCCGCUAGCCGUGGUGGUCGCGACGCGAAGCGCCUCGGGGCGGCGGAGGGCCACGGGCUUUGGCCUUUGGCCUUUGGCCGUGUCAGGGUCAGACUCGAUCGGCUUGCGCAGCAUAUGAUUCGUUAG
RNAcentral lists this ribosomal RNA (528 nucleotides) under Triticum aestivum (bread wheat). Its description in RNAcentral is "partial small subunit ribosomal RNA". Lineage: Eukaryota; Viridiplantae; Streptophyta; Magnoliopsida; Poales; Poaceae. The record is from RNAcentral.